Molecule: small nuclear RNA, 82 nt
Filed under: Jaculus jaculus (lesser Egyptian jerboa)
Lineage: Eukaryota; Metazoa; Chordata; Mammalia; Rodentia; Dipodidae
Description: U2 spliceosomal RNA (ENSJJAG00000009324.1)
Rfam family: U2 spliceosomal RNA
About the family: U2 is a small nuclear RNA (snRNA) component of the spliceosome (involved in pre-mRNA splicing). Complementary binding between U2 snRNA (in an area lying towards the 5' end but 3' to hairpin I) and the branchpoint sequence (BPS) of the intron results the bulging out of an unpaired adenosine, on the BPS, which initiates a nucleophilic attack at the intronic 5' splice site, thus starting the first of two transesterification reactions that mediate splicing.
Source: RNAcentral
AUUGCUUCUCAGCCUUUUGGCUAAGCUCAAGUGUAGUAUCUGUUCUUAUCAGUUUAAUAUCUGACAUAUCCUCUAUCUUUUA